AGGUUUUUGUCUACAAUGAAGCAGAAUGCCUUGCAAGGCGUCGUGCCCAAUGAGACAGAGGAUCUGAAUGUAGAACACCUGCAGAUGCUCCUCCUCAUUUUCCACAAUUUCACUGAGACAGGCCGGCGGGCCAUAUUGUCGCUUUUUGUCCAGAUCAUCCAGGAGUUGAGCGUCAACAUGGAUGCUCAGAUGCGCUUCGUGCCACUUAUCUUGGCUCGCCUCCUUCUCAUCUUUGAUUAUCUGCUUCAUCAGUACUCCAAAGCCCCUGUGUAUCUAUUUGAGCAGGUACAGCAUAACCUGCUAAGUCCUCCCUUUGGGUGGGCAAGUGGAUCCCAGGACAGCAACAGCCGCCGGGCAACCACUCCUCUCUAUCAUGGAUUCAAAGAAGUAGAAGAAAACUGGUCUAAGCAUUUCUCAUCAGAUGCUGUCCCACAGCCCAGAUUCUACUGUGUCCUGUCCCCAGAAGCCUCAGAGGAUGAUUUGAACCGACUUGAUUCUGUGGCAUGUGACGUCCUUUUCUCCAAGCUUGUCAAGUAUGAUGAGCUUUAUGCUGCACUGACAGCCCUGCUUGCAGCUGGGUCCCAGCUUGAUACAGUUAGGAGAAAGGAAAACAAGAAUGUAACAGCCUUGGAGGCCUGUGCCCUUCAAUAUUACUUCUUGAUACUGUGGAGGAUCCUAGGAAUUUUACCACCAUCAAAGACUUACAUUAACCAGCUAUCCAUGAACUCACCUGAGAUGAGCGAAUGUGACAUCUUGCACACUCUGCGAUGGUCUUCUCGGCUCCGGAUCAGCUCCUAUGUCAACUGGAUAAAGGAUCACCUUAUCAAACAGGGAAUGAAGGCUGAGCAUGCUAGCUCGCUUCUAGAACUGGCAUCCACCACUAAGUGUAGCUCAGUGAAAUAUGAUGUUGAAAUAGUAGAGGAAUACUUCGCUCGACAGAUCUCAUCCUUCUGUAGUAUCGACUGUACCACCAUCUUGCAGCUGCAUGAAAUUCCCAGUCUGCAGUCCAUCUACACCCUUGAUGCCGCCAUCUCAAAGGUCCAGGUCUCUUUGGAUGAGCAUUUUUCUAAGAUGGCUGCUGAGACUGAUCCUCAUAAGUCGUCUGAGAUUACCAAGAACCUACUUCCAGCCACGCUACAACUCAUUGACACCUAUGCAUCGUUCACCAGAGCCUAUUUGCUGCAAAACUUUAAUGAAGAGGGAACAACUGAGAAACCUUCCAAGGAGAAACUGCAAGGCUUUGCUGCUGUUUUGGCUAUUGGCUCUAGCAGGUGCAAGGCAAAUACUCUGGGUCCGACACUGGUUCAGAAUUUGCCAUCGUCAGUGCAGGCUGUGUGUGAGUCCUGGAACAACAUCAAUACCAAUGAAUUUCCCAAUAUUGGAUCCUGGCGCAAUGCCUUUGCCAAUGACACCAUCCCUUCAGAGAGUUAUAUUAGUGCAGUGCAGGCUGCACACCUGGGGACUCUCUGUAGCCAAAGUCUGCCCCUGGCUGCUUCCCUGAAGCAUACCCUCCUCUCACUGGUCAGGUUGACUGGAGAUCUUAUUGUUUGGUCAGAUGAGAUGAACCCACCACAGGUAAUUCGGACACUGCUACCUCUUCUUUUGGAAUCAAGCACUGAGAGUGUUGCCGAGAUCAGUAGCAACUCCCUGGAACGCAUCUUGGGCCCUGCUGAGUCUGAUGAGUUCUUGGCUCGUGUUUAUGAGAAGCUGAUCACUGGUUGUUACAACAUUCUGGCCAAUCAUGCAGAUCCUAACAGUGGACUGGAUGAAUCCAUCCUGGAGGAAUGUCUCCAGUACUUGGAAAAGCAGCUGGAAAGUAGCCAGGCUCGUAAAGCUAUGGAGGAGUUUUUCUCUGACAGUGGAGAACUUGUACAGAUCAUGAUGGCAACAGCCAAUGAAAACCUCUCUGCUAAAUUCUGUAACCGAGUUUUGAAAUUCUUCACCAAACUCUUCCAGCUGACUGAGAAGAGCCCUAACCCAAGCCUGUUGCAUCUCUGUGGCUCCCUGGCACAACUGGCCUGUGUGGAACCUGUGCGCCUGCAGGCCUGGCUCACCCGCAUGACUACAUCUCCCCCAAAAGAUUCUGAUCAGCUGGAUGUAAUUCAGGAGAACCGGCAGCUGCUGCAGUUACUGACCACAUACAUUGUUCGGGAAAACAGCCAAGUUGGGGAAGGUGUGUGUGCUGUUCUUCUGGGCACCCUGACUCCCAUGGCAACAGAGAUGCUGGCCAACGGUGAUGGGACUGGCUUCCCUGAACUUAUGGUUGUGAUGGCCACUCUGGCCAGUGCAGGUCAAGGUGCUGGUCACCUUCAGCUUCAUAAUGCUGCUGUGGAUUGGCUGAGCAGAUGCAAGAAAUACCUGUCACAGAAGAAUGUAGUUGAAAAACUGAAUGCCAAUGUAAUGCAUGGAAAGCAUGUGAUGAUCUUGGAGUGCACAUGCCAUAUCAUGUCUUACUUGGCUGAUGUCACAAAUGCCCUGAGCCAGAGUAACGGUCAAGGCCCAAGUCAUCUCUCAGUGGAUGGGGAAGAGCGGGCCAUUGAAGUAGACUCAGACUGGGUGGAGGAGUUGGCGGUGGAAGAGGAAGAUUCCCAGGCUGAGGAUUCAGAUGAAGAUUCUCUUUGCAAUAAACUCUGCACUUUUACGAUCACACAGAAAGAAUUCAUGAACCAGCAUUGGUACCACUGUCACACCUGUAAAAUGGUGGAUGGCGUGGGUGUCUGCACAGUGUGUGCUAAGGUGUGCCACAAGGAUCAUGAGAUUUCCUAUGCCAAGUAUGGAUCCUUCUUCUGUGACUGUGGAGCCAAGGAAGAUGGCAGCUGUUUGGCUCUGGUGAAGAGAACUCCUAGUAGUGGCAUGAGCUCUACCAUGAAGGAGUCGGCAUUUCAGAGUGAACCCAGGAUUUCAGAGAGUCUAGUGCGUCAUGCCAGCACCUCCUCGCCAGCUGACAAAGCCAAGGUUACCAUCAGUGAUGGAAAGGUUGCUGACGAAGAGAAGCCCAAGAAGAGCAGCCUCUGCCGCACAGUAGAGGGCUGCCGGGAGGAAUUACAGAACCAGGCCAAUUUCUCCUUCGCUCCUCUCGUGUUAGACAUGCUUAAUUUCCUUAUGGAUGCCAUUCAGACCAACUUCCAGCAAGCUUCAGCCGUCGGGAGCAGCAGCCGUGCUCAGCAAGCCCUCAGUGAGCUACACACUGUGGAGAAGGCAGUGGAGAUGACAGACCAGCUGAUGGUUCCCACCUUAGGCUCCCAGGAAGGUGCCUUUGAGAAUGUGCGGAUGAAUUACAGUGGAGACCAGGGCCAGACCAUCCGGCAGCUGAUCAGUGCUCAUGUGCUCAGGCGGGUGGCUAUGUGUGUGCUCUCCUCUCCCCAUGGGCGCCGCCAACAUUUGGCUGUCAGCCAUGAGAAGGGCAAGAUCACUGUUCUGCAGCUCUCUGCACUCCUGAAGCAAGCAGAUUCCAGCAAAAGGAAGUUAACUCUGACCCGCUUGGCUUCUGCCCCAGUUCCUUUUACUGUGUUGAGCCUCACAGGAAAUCCCUGCAAGGAAGACUACUUGGCGGUUUGUGGGCUAAAGGACUGCCAUGUGCUCACCUUUAGUAGCUCAGGCUCUGUUUCGGAUCACUUGGUUUUGCACCCUCAGUUGGCAACGGGGAACUUCAUCAUCAAAGCCGUGUGGUUACCUGGUUCACAGACCGAGUUAGCAAUUGUCACCGCGGACUUUGUUAAGAUUUAUGACCUGUCUGUUGAUGCCUUGAGUCCAACCUUCUACUUUCUCCUGCCAAGCUCAAAGAUAAGAGAUGUUACCUUCCUUUUCAAUGAGGAGGGAAAGAACAUCAUUGUUAUAAUGUCUUCGGCUGGGUACAUCUAUACUCAGCUUAUGGAAGAGGCCAGCAGUGCCCAGCAGGGACCCUUCUAUGUCACUAAUGUGUUGGAAAUCAAUCAUGAGGACCUGAAGCAGGACAGUAACAGCCAGGUGGCGGGCGGUGGUGUGUCCGUGUACUACUCCCACGUGUUGCAGAUGUUGUUCUUCAGCUAUUGUCAAGGCAAAUCAUUCGCAGCCACCAUCAGCAGGACAACCCUGGAGGUGUUGCAACUCUUCCCCAUCAACAUCAAAAGUUCCAAUGGUGGCAGUAAGACUUCUCCUGCUCUUUGCCAGUGGUCUGAGGUGAUGAACCACCCUGGCUUGGUGUGCUGUGUCCAGCAAACUACAGGGGUGCCGCUGGUAGUUAUGGUGAAACCAGACACUUUUCUUAUCCAGGAGAUUAAGACUCUUCCUGCUAAAGCAAAGAUCCAAGACAUGGUUGCUAUUAGGCACACGGCCUGCAAUGAGCAGCAGCGGACAACAAUGAUUCUGCUGUGUGAGGAUGGCAGUCUGCGCAUUUACAUGGCCAACGUGGAGAACACCUCCUACUGGCUGCAGCCAUCCCUGCAGCCCAGCAGUGUCAUCAGCAUCAUGAAGCCUGUUCGAAAGCGCAAAACAGCUACAAUCACAACCCGCACGUCUAGCCAGGUGACUUUCCCCAUUGACUUUUUUGAACACAACCAGCAGCUGACAGAUGUGGAGUUUGGUGGUAAUGACCUCCUACAGGUCUAUAAUGCACAACAGAUAAAACACCGGCUGAAUUCCACUGGCAUGUAUGUGGCCAACACCAAGCCCGGAGGCUUCACCAUUGAGAUUAGUAACAACAAUAGCACUAUGGUGAUGACAGGCAUGCGGAUCCAGAUUGGGACUCAAGCAAUAGAACGGGCCCCAUCAUAUAUCGAGAUCUUCGGCAGAACUAUGCAGCUCAACCUGAGUCGCUCACGCUGGUUUGACUUCCCCUUCACCAGAGAAGAAGCCCUGCAGGCUGAUAAGAAGCUGAACCUCUUCAGUGAGUCACCAACCCCUGGUGCAGACUCUGUCCUCAUUGUGACUGCGAAAUUGGGAGCCACUGGCCUGUGGCUGUCCAACAUUCUGGGAUCUCUCCACUCUACUGAUUUUUCUGUCCUUUUGUCAGGAAACUUUGAGCUUCAUUUGAUGUAUUAAAGAGGCAAGGUGACAGGAAAGGAGUACACCGGAGCAUGGUAGCAGUAAAGAUAGGGCUGCACUGUGUUGAGUAUUCAUUUCAAUAGUGUUGUGUCCACCUCACUAAUGGGGCUACUUCUGUGUUUAGGCCGAGAGGAGGCAGAUUGACAUGAAAUUGCAAGGCUUUCUUAACGCACAGAGGAAGACCUCAGGUCACACAUGGCUGAGAGAUGGUUGGCAAUGGCUUGCUAUGCCACUGAAAACUAAACUCUCAGAAUACAAAUCCUUGAGCCUUACUCAAGACUGCAUUUCUCUGUCAUUUAUUGGCCACUGUCUGAUGUUCUUUCUUCUAGAUAUAGUUGCUGUUAGUGUGAAUGAUCAUGAUCUGUACUUUGAACAAAGAAAGUGUGUAGAGAGCCCUGGGAGUGAGGGGUAGGGGAUACAAUACUCUGAAGCAGAAGAGGACCCUUGCAGUGAUGGUUAGGGACUCUUCUGAGUAGGAGACGUAAUCGGCUUUUGGUCCAUGGAACUUUUACCACAUGUAUUCAGCAUCUAUACACGAUUAAAGUGCUGCGAAUAUCUCAG
RNAcentral lists this small RNA (5583 nucleotides) under Pan troglodytes (chimpanzee). RNAcentral describes it as "retained intron". The record is from RNAcentral. Lineage: Eukaryota; Metazoa; Chordata; Mammalia; Primates; Hominidae.